RNAcentral lists this ribosomal RNA (253 nucleotides) under uncultured bacterium. Its description in RNAcentral is "partial 16S ribosomal RNA". It matches the Rfam family "Bacterial small subunit ribosomal RNA", at positions 524 to 776 of the family's 1533-position model. The record is from RNAcentral.
UACGUAGGGUCCGAGCGUUGUCCGGAAUUAUUGGGCGUAAAGAGCUCGUAGGCGGUUUGUCGCGUCUGUCGUGAAAGCCCACGGCUUAACCGUGGGUCUGCGGUGGAUACGGGCAGACUAGAGGCAGGUAGGGGAGAAUGGAAUUCCCGGUGUAGCGGUGAAAUGCGCAGAUAUCGGGAGGAACACCGGUGGCGAAGGCGGCUACCUGGACCGGUUCUGACGCUGAGGCGCGAAAGCGUGGGUAGCAAACAGG